CUCCUCCUCCUCUUCUUCUUCUUCCUCUUCUUUCUAUUAAGCUAACUAACUAACUAACCUAACUAACCAAGCUAACUAAACCUAUCGCUAAACCUAUAUAGCACUAAACAACAUAAAAAAUAACAAAAACAGAAUCUAUAUCACUAACUAACUAAAAUAUAGCUCCUUCUUUUCCUUUCUCCUCUUCUUUCUCCUCCUCCUCCUCCUCCUC
This 211-nucleotide long non-coding RNA is filed under the name Hordeum vulgare. Its description in RNAcentral is "long non-coding RNA (HVUL_LNC010673)". The record is from RNAcentral. Lineage: Eukaryota; Viridiplantae; Streptophyta; Magnoliopsida; Poales; Poaceae.